Molecule: ribosomal RNA, 253 nt
Filed under: uncultured bacterium
Lineage: Bacteria
Description: partial 16S ribosomal RNA
Rfam family: Bacterial small subunit ribosomal RNA
Source: RNAcentral
GACAGAGGCCUCAAGCGUUAGGCGGAAUCACUGGGCUUAAAGCGUGUGUAGGCGGAUCGUUAAGUGCCUUGUGAAAUCCCACGGCUUAACUGUGGAACGGCUGGGCAUACUGGCGGUCUUGAGCCAUCUAGGGGCGACUGGAACAAACGGUGGAGCGGUGAAAUGCGUAGAGAUCCGGAGGAACACCAGAGGCGAAGGCGGCAACCUGGCACGUUACUGACGCUCAUACACGACAGCAUGGGGAGCGAACGGG